RNAcentral lists this long non-coding RNA (1281 nucleotides) under Pan troglodytes (chimpanzee). RNAcentral describes it as "long non-coding RNA NONPTRT001095". The record is from RNAcentral. Lineage: Eukaryota; Metazoa; Chordata; Mammalia; Primates; Hominidae.
CAGGUAUGUUUUGUAGAAUGUAAAUUAUAUUAUGACUUUAGAUCAUUGACAUGUUUGUACCACUGACCAUGUUAUUUCUAGCAGAUACUGAGAUAAUGCAAAUAAUGAAUUUACAAACUGAAAGAGUUAUGAUUUUUAUUAUGAGCAUCAAUGAUUAGGAAAAGUUACUCAUGAAUUACUAAAGAAGAGAUUGCCAACAGUGGCAAUAUUAUCAGUAAAAUAUGAGUAAAAGUUAUUGACUACCUAUAUAACAAUUUUAAUUUGCUAUUUGUAGUGUAAAACAUAGCAACAAGUUACAAAAUGGAAUUAGAACUGGGAAAACACUGCCUUAUUGAGUCACUUUAUUGUGCUCUGUGUGUGGUUUUUGUUUUUUCAUCUGUAAAAUUAGAGUAAUAUAGAGGAGGAGGCAUUUUGGAAAGAUUAAGUACUUAAAAAUACAUCCUGACUUUUCCAGGUGGUGAUAAAAUUAUGAUGACGAUAGCAAUGAAAAUUUAUUGAACACUUACUCUGGACCAGACACCUAAGUGUUUUACUGGCAUUUUAUUUUAAUUCAUAAUGCCAUUUUGUAUGUUAAAACAUCCAUGUCUCAUCAAUAAGUAUCAGUGGGCAAACACAUUUUUUUUUAUUUUUUAAAUUUUUUGUUCUACCAUCUCAUCCUGAUAACUCCUACCAUGUCUUCCUUAACCAAUGGCCUCUCCCUGUAAGGUGGAUUCAUCUGUUCCUGGCAGUCCCAGGCGAACAACAUUUGCUUACCUGCCCCUUCUGUCUUCUAUGCCACUUGUGUGCCGAAUACAAUUCCAAAAUUAAGAAGAUUCCAUUUUUUAAAAAGUUGCUGAAAAUAAACGUUUGGGAACAAAAGGAGGGAAUUCUAAACACACCUGUUACCCCACAAAGAAUUAUGUACUGCAUCUUUAGCUGUUGUCUGCAAGGACCCCACUUUAACCCGGGUAUUAGAGGAUCCUGAGGAAGCCUGGGAAGGCGAGUAGUCUGACUACAUUACUUCACUGUCGGGUCCUAUAAAUCCUGCUCUUCCCACCGCUUUCCUCCUAACUUUCUAUUGCAUCCCAGGUGAUCAUCUCCUCAAUUUCUCAAGUUCUAUCAUGUGUUCUUCCAGAGGUUCCUGGUUUUCUCACACCUAAUCUAGCAUGCUAAAUCUUCAUUCUAUAUCCCUUCUUUGAGUGUAACAAGCAACAUCGAUACACGACUAUAACUUCAUAAUGACAAAUAAACAUGUAGAAAACCCAAGAUUUUAAACUUCCACAAUUCAAAUUACUAUUUUCA